This 111-nucleotide small nuclear RNA is filed under the name Canis lupus familiaris (dog). The record is from RNAcentral. Lineage: Eukaryota; Metazoa; Chordata; Mammalia; Carnivora; Canidae. RNAcentral also lists the same sequence under 1 other name.
GUGCUACUCACUUUUGGCAGUACAUAUACUAAAAUUGGAGGAAUACAAAGAAGACUACCAUGGCCUCUGUGCAAGGAUAACACACAAAUUUGUCAAGCAUUCCAUAUUUUU